This 701-nucleotide ribosomal RNA is filed under the name Thecaphora saponariae. RNAcentral describes it as "eukaryotic LSU rRNA". The stretch from base 224 to 378 matches the Rfam family "5.8S ribosomal RNA". The record is from RNAcentral. Lineage: Eukaryota; Fungi; Basidiomycota; Ustilaginomycetes; Urocystidales; Glomosporiaceae.
CUUGGUCAUUUAGAGGAAGUAAAAGUCGUAACAAGGUUUCUGUAGGUGAACCUGCAGAAGGAUCAUUGAAAAAUCAAUGGGGAAAAAGGCAGCCCGCAAGGGUAGCCUUUUUCCUUUAUCCACACACCUUUACACACCUGUGCACGCACAAAAAACCAUUUCACACGCUUAGAAAAUAGAGAAUGUCAUAAAAAUCCUUCCUAGGAAGGUGAAAGUUAAAUACAACUUUCGGCAACGGAUCUCUAGGUUCUCCUAUCGAUGAAGAACGCAGCGAAUUGCGAUAAGUAAUUGUGAAUUGCAGACAUCAGUGAAUCAUCGAAUCUUUGAACGCAUCUUGCGCCCUUUGGUAUUCCUUAGGGCAUGCCUGUUUGAGUGUCACGAGCAACCUUUGAACCUCGGAUUUUUUCAUGAAAGUCUGUUUGGGUUCAGUCUUGAGCGCUUGCCUGUUUUUUUCAGGCUCGCUCUAAAUGCAUUAGCUGGCAUUUCGCUCCUGUCAUCCGGACCUGGUUUUAAAAAGGCCUGGUUCGGAUGGUUGGUUCGGCGUGAUAAUUUACAUCUGCUGGAUCAUUUCAGAGACGGAAUUCUGCUUCCAACCAAGGGAGCCGGUCCUUUUUUGAGGAUCGCGUCUCUGCACUUUUUGACAUCUGGCCUCAGACAGGUAGGACUACCCGCUGAACUUAAGCAUAUCAAUAAGCGGAGGA